AUACUACAUAAGAUUCAAGAUUCAUAUCAUCAACAUAAAGGCAAAAAAACGACGAGGGAAGAUCCAUAACUGAAUGAUAUAGAAAUGGGUUUGAAAAUUGGAGGGAGAAUUGAAAAAGUGAACGGUAGAGAACUAACUUACAGUGAGUUCGCCGAUAAAUAUAUGUCCCAGAACCAACCUGUGCUUCUUACAGGACUUAUGGACGAUUGGAGGGCUUGCAAAGAUUGGGUUUCACCUAAUGGAAAACCCAAUCUUCACUUUUUCUCUACCCAUUUUGGGAAAUCCAAAGUUCAGGUUGCAGAUUGUGGGACUAGAGAGUUCACUGAUCAGAAGAGAAUAGAAAUGACUGUUUCUGAAUUUGUUGAUCGCUGGCUUCAUGAUGGUGGUGCUGGUGGCGGGUCUUUAUUGUAUUUGAAGGAUUGGCAUUUUGUAAAGGAAUAUCCGGAGUAUAUUGCAUACAGAACUCCCAUGGACUUUUCAGAUGACUGGCUGAAUUUCUAUCUUGACAAAUUUCAUAUGCAUAACGAUCCUGAUACAUAUAGUGAGAGAAAUGAUAUAAGUUGCUCUGACUAUCGUUUUGUAUACAUGGGAUCAAAAGGAACAUGGACACCUCUUCAUGCUGAUGUAUUCAGGUCAUACAGUUGGUCUGCAAAUGUCUGUGGAAAAAAACAGUGGUAUUUUCUGCCUCCAAGUCAACAUCACUUGGUUUUUGACAGGAAUAUGAAAAGUUCCGUAUAUGACAUCUUUGCUGAAGUUUCUCAAUCAAAAUUUCCUGGAUUUGAAAAGGCUAUCUGGUGGGAGUGCACCCAGGAGGAAAAUGAAGUAAUCUUUGUUCCCAGUGGAUGGUAUCAUCAAGUUCAUAAUCUGGAGGAUACCAUAUCCAUAAAUCAUAACUGGUUCAAUGGAUAUAAUUUAUCUUGGGUGUGGGAUUUGCUUUUAAAAGAUUACAAUGAGGCUAGUGAAUACAUUGAAGACCUCAAGGGAUGUGAUGACUUUGAGGAGCUUUGCCAACGAAAUCUUGCCGCUAAUACAGGCAUGAAUUUCUACGACUUCUUCAUCUUCAUUGUGCGCUUUGCGUUUGCAAACGUAGUCCUACUACAUACACUUGCCCAUGUAAAGAAUGAAACAAGUCGGAAACCAUCAAAAGCACUGCAGCAUAUAUAUUUUAACCUCGAAUCAAUAAGAAACGUCGCUGUGAAAAUGAAGCCCAUAAAUACAGGGGACAGGCAAGGUGUUUUACUUGACUUGAGGAAAAACUUGGAGGAUCACUCGUUUAUAGAGCUCUGUGCAGCUGUUGGAAAAACAUAUGAACUGAUACAUGACCAAGAUAAGACGACCCCUACAUUAUUGCAGUGUACAGACUUGAUGUGUACUAGUUUUGUUAGAUCUCAAGUUCAGAGUUCUGAAGACCUCGUUGCCUUUAUCAAUGAUGCUUUGACUAAACUAGGUGGUGCUUUUUCUUGUUAGGAAUAUCUGUACACAUAUAUGAAGCAAGAAGUUCAUGUUCUUUGCAUAUCGAUAGAGGACAGCACGCUGAUUCUCAAGGAGUACAUCAGAUGUUUGAAGUUUCGUAUGGUCGAAGUUCAGUCUAAAUGCAUAUAUUGUUGAAGUUUGUUCAGACAAAAAUAAUUGACUGUGGCUGGCUACAUAUAUUUUAACUACUUUAAGGCACAUGAAUAUCAAAGACUGCAAGUAUGACGUUCUUCAGCUUACCUAAAAAUUGACUUGGACUUUUUAAACAAAGGAACCAAAUCCCUGCUACAAGUUUUGUCUUUUUAUAUUUAUUUUCUUGAUAAAAACCAUGUUCUUGAUUAGUGAACUUGGAUUGUCUUCAUUUAUUGGAUGCUUUUGUUGGGUUGACUAGGCCUCUAACUUCUCUAAUAAAAAUAAAAAAUAUGUAUUAUUUGAUUA
Molecule: RNA transcript, 1911 nt
Organism: Solanum pennellii
Lineage: Eukaryota; Viridiplantae; Streptophyta; Magnoliopsida; Solanales; Solanaceae
Gene name: jmjC domain-containing protein 4
Exons: 10
Source: RefSeq, a predicted model, not a curated record